This 219-nucleotide unclassified non-coding RNA is filed under the name uncultured soil eukaryote. RNAcentral's name for it is "sequence contains ITS2". The record is from RNAcentral.
ACACCUCAACUCUCAUGGCUUACCAUGAUGAGCUUGGACUUUGGGGGCCUUUGCUGGCUUGUGUCAGCUCCUCUCAAAGGAAUCAGCUUGCCAGUGUCUGGUGGCAUCACGAGUGUGAUAACUGUCUACGCUUGUGGUUUUCCACCAGGUAACCUUCAGCGAUGGAGGUUCACUGGGGCUCAUAAAUGUCUUUCCCCAGAGAAGACAGCUCUUUGAACA